ACAAAAUUGAGAGCUGAUAAUGGUUUUUCUUUUUUAUUCACUUGCUUGUUCUUCUUCUUUAUCGCUCUCUCUCUCUCUCGAUCACUCACACUUGAAAAUGUUCACAUUACCAAUAACUGUGUCUUUAGUCGAAAAGUCAUGCCUCUUACAGACACACCUCUUACUUAAAAAACACAUUAACUGGGUAACGAUGAUAUGUCCAUACGACCAAACUCAAUUAUAAAACUAACAAAAAAGUAAAGGCAAAUGCAAAUCGCAGUAUGAGCGGCGAUGCUGAAGCUUCGUAAUCUUGUUCUUUUAUUCAUGCUCCUCACCGUCGCCGCUCAUAUCCUUUUAUACACCGAUCCAGCCGCCUCCUUUAACAAGACUCCUCCUUUUUGUCACUUGAAUCUUCGACAGUGCUCAGUGGAGGAGGAGAAGAAGUCGUGGUCUAUUCCAUUGAUAAGAUUUCACAACGGCAAGCCAUGUAAAACAUCUGAUCAUGUGCUGGAAACAACCUAGGAUUGCCAUUGGACUACUUAUCAUGCUUCGUGUACUCUGGUAUGUAUACGUGAUGAAUGAAACAACGGGUCAUUCCAAGGCCGGUGUGUUAAUGUGUUAUUUGCGGAUGGGUUGGGAUCUCAAACGCUUAUUACAGCAAAGAGUGUACACUUGGCCUCUCUUUUCAUAUGUGGUUCACUUUGGAUAGGAAGGGGAUUACCAGUUGGACUCUCGUCAUCUCACUCUUCCUUCUCUUCUCUUCCAGCUGAGGAGUCCUUUUGUUAUAAAAAUUGAUACUGAGAUACACCCCCACAAGAAUACUUCACUUAGGUGAACUUUGCUUUCUUUUUAAACUCUCAAUGAUGUAAAUUUCUAAAUGAUCUCUUCGAUCUCAUCAUUAUCCCUUCAUGCCAAUUUUUAUGUAAUGGAAUAGUUAUGUAAUGGAAUAGUUAGGUGUCGUUGAAGA
Long non-coding RNA from Camelina sativa (false flax), 946 nucleotides. RefSeq lists it as uncharacterized. NCBI's taxonomy places the organism in Eukaryota, Viridiplantae, Streptophyta, Magnoliopsida, Brassicales, Brassicaceae. The record is from RefSeq and is a predicted model, not a curated record.